RNAcentral lists this ribosomal RNA (292 nucleotides) under Planococcus sp. CP5-4_YE. Its description in RNAcentral is "partial 16S ribosomal RNA". It matches the Rfam family "Bacterial small subunit ribosomal RNA", at positions 1244 to 1533 of the family's 1533-position model. Lineage: Bacteria; Bacillati; Bacillota; Bacilli; Caryophanales; Caryophanaceae. The record is from RNAcentral.
GGGCUGCAAACCCGCGAGGGGGAGCCAAUCCCAGAAAACCGUUCUCAGUUCGGAUUGUAGGCUGCAACUCGCCUGCAUGAAGCCGGAAUCGCUAGUAAUCGCGGAUCAGCAUGCCGCGGUGAAUACGUUCCCGGGCCUUGUACACACCGCCCGUCACACCACGAGAGUUUGUAACACCCGAAGUCGGUGGGGUAACCCUUACGGGAGCCAGCCGCCGAAGGUGGGACAGAUGAUUGGGGUGAAGUCGUAACAAGGUAGCCGUAUCGGAAGGUGCGGCUGGAUCACCUCCUUU